Molecule: unclassified non-coding RNA, 325 nt
Filed under: uncultured fungus
Lineage: Eukaryota; Fungi
Description: partial contains 5.8S rRNA and ITS2
Source: RNAcentral
AACGCAAAUUGCGGUCCUGGGCUAUCCUGGGACCAUGCCUGGUUGAGUGUCAUGUUACAUCCUCAAACUUUCGGGUUUGGUUUAUUGGGACGUCACACGUUGAUCGACGCGUGUCUCCUUAAAUGAAGAAGAAGCUGAUCCACGACACUUUUCGUGUGGAACAAACGGCUCUAGCAUGGUAAAUCCACAUCCUUCGGGGUACUGUCGCUAGUUGUCGUCCAUUUCGAGUCGUAGAUCAACGUCUAGCCACUUUAUACGAGCGACGAAUGGAUUGUCGCUUGCCACUAUUGACCUCAGCUCAGGUAAGGCUACCCGCUGAACUUAA